RNAcentral lists this transfer RNA (78 nucleotides) under Rickettsia sp. RNAcentral's name for it is "tRNA-Asp". It matches the Rfam family "tRNA". Rfam says of the family: Transfer RNA (tRNA) molecules are approximately 80 nucleotides in length. Their secondary structure includes four short double-helical elements and three loops (D, anti-codon, and T loops). Further hydrogen bonds mediate the characteristic L-shaped molecular structure. tRNAs have two regions of fundamental functional importance: the anti-codon, which is responsible for specific mRNA codon recognition, and the 3' end, to which the tRNAs corresponding amino acid is attached (by aminoacyl-tRNA synthetases). tRNAs cope with the degeneracy of the genetic code in two manners: having more than one tRNA (with a specific anti-codon) for a particular amino acid; and 'wobble' base-pairing, i.e. permitting non-standard base-pairing at the 3rd anti-codon position. The record is from RNAcentral. Lineage: Bacteria; Pseudomonadati; Pseudomonadota; Alphaproteobacteria; Rickettsiales; Rickettsiaceae.
GGGGGCGUGGCUUAGUUUGGUUAAAGCGUCUGCCUGUCACGCAGAAGAUCGCGGGUUCGAGCCCCGUCGUCCCCGCCA